CCUGGGGAGGGGGGAGAGAGAGAAUAGAGAAGUCACCUAAAAUUAUGAAAACAAAUCAAAUCUGCCACGAUCAAAGUCGAUGCAGAUCAGACGUGAGGUGAAUGAGGCACGUGAGGUAUAGUUGGAGAGAUUACAGCUUAAAAACAGAGAAAGAGACCAUUAUAACCUGCAGACCAUAAAGUCCUGAUUAGUUAUCUUCAGAGGACAGUCAGGGAGGGAGCAGAGGCAGGCACACUGCCGUACCAGAAUGCAGGUUUGGUUUGAGCAGGGGUCAAAAUGACAGGCAAUAGAAAGACCAUACAAAAUCCACUAACAACAAUAUACAACAAAAUUAAACAAUGUGUUCAAAUACUAAUAGAAAUGACCCAAUAUUUCAAUGGUUAAACAUAUGGGUAUGAAUAGUUUGUUUAUAAGAAGAUAACAGAAGUAAACCUGUUUAUAAAUAGUGAGGUGUGGGUAGGAGACACCACAGCUGUUAAGUUCUGACCAUUCACACAGAAGAGAGUAUUUUGAACACGCUAUGAAAGAAAAUACAAGAUUCAUAUUAUAUUUGGAAAGAUGACUGACUUUGAGUCUGUAGUUGGCCACUGCAAGGUAGAACAGAUAGUCCCGGGAGUCGUCCUUUGACGAUUUGUGGACAAGUUCUGCAAGA
Xiphophorus hellerii (green swordtail) is the source of this 652-nucleotide long non-coding RNA. RefSeq lists it as uncharacterized. The record is from RefSeq and is a predicted model, not a curated record. Lineage: Eukaryota; Metazoa; Chordata; Actinopteri; Cyprinodontiformes; Poeciliidae. The transcript has 2 exons.